GGGGAUUUAGCUCAGUGGUAGAGUGCUUGCCUAGGAUGCACAAGGCCCUGGGUUCGGUCCCCAGCUCCG
This 69-nucleotide transfer RNA is filed under the name Rattus norvegicus (Norway rat). It matches the Rfam family "tRNA". Rfam says of the family: Transfer RNA (tRNA) molecules are approximately 80 nucleotides in length. Their secondary structure includes four short double-helical elements and three loops (D, anti-codon, and T loops). The record is from Rfam by way of RNAcentral. Lineage: Eukaryota; Metazoa; Chordata; Mammalia; Rodentia; Muridae.